GACGAACGCUGGCGGCGUGCUUAACACAUGCAAGUCGAACGGUAAGGCCCUUCGGGGUACACGAGUGGCGAACGGGUGAGUAACACGUGGGUGAUCUGCCCUGCACUUCGGGAUAAGCCUGGGAAACUGGGUCUAAUACCGGAUAGGACCACUGCCUGCAUGGGUGGUGGUGGAAAGCUUUUGCGGUGUGGGAUGGGCCCGCGGCCUAUCAGCUUGUUGGUGGGGUGAUGGCCUACCAAGGCGACGACGGGUAGCCGGGCUGAGCGGGGGACCGGUGCCACUGGGACUUGGAUACGGCCCAGACUCCUACGGGAGGCAGCAGUGGGGAAUAUUGCACAAUGGUCGCAAGCCUGAUGCAGCGACGCCGCGUGAGGGAUGACGGCCUUCGGGUUGUAAACCUCUUUCAGCACCGACGAAGCGCAAGUGACGGUAGGUGUAGAAGAAGGACCGGCCAACUACGUGCCAGCCGCCGCGGUAA
RNAcentral lists this ribosomal RNA (478 nucleotides) under uncultured bacterium. Its description in RNAcentral is "partial 16S ribosomal RNA". It matches the Rfam family "Bacterial small subunit ribosomal RNA", at positions 28 to 523 of the family's 1533-position model. The record is from RNAcentral.